CUUUAACGUAAAUUCGUUUCAUUGUAUUUUUUUCAUAUAUUACGUUCCUGUAAACUGAGGAACAACCUCAGCAAGACAUGUACGACAUUUUAGGCAGCGGAGAAGCCAUAAAAUUGGGUGCUAACGGUUUGGAAGGUCACUUCCUGCACAGACCUCGCUCCGUUGCCACAGUCCAGUGAAGCCAUGCAAAGCAAGUCGGGUCGGAACACACGGGCCGCCCUGUGCGCUGCCUUUUAUUUGAUGUUCGUCUCGGGGAAAUGUGAAACGGCAGCAUCAGAGGAGGAGGGCGAAAAGACCUUGCCUUUUCCCCGCGCCUCACUGGGCGCGGACACCGAACUGAUGCUGGCGGCAAAGCACGUGGUGGCCCAUCACCUGCAAGAGUGUCACCUCAUUAUAGCCGCCCCUCGCUCCUCUGUCUUGGCUCUGACUAUUAGAGUGUCAGGAGUGAACACUAUGGUGACAACCGUGGUGGAACUGCACUCUGACGCGUCCUUCACAAAACACGUAGAUAUCUGGAGGAGCGGACAAUUCCCCUGCCGCGCCCUGCUGCUUCACUGCACGGGGCAGAACACCAACCUGGCCAUACAGUUUCUGUUAGCGUCUAAAAUAUGGCAGCGGCCUGAGGUGCGCGUGGUUGUGAUGAGCAGAGGGGAAGACGGUGAUCACCUACUCAGCCACCACGUCCUGCGCAACACCCGCCAUGUGCUGCACAUCGAGCCUAACUACACCAGGCGCCGCAACGCCGCCCUGGGUACUGCCUCUGCACUUCACCACCAGAACCCACCAAUUCACUGCAAUUUAAAGCCUUUCCCAAAUCUUGUCCACUGGGAUGUCAGUUGUUCGUCUAUUGCACGCCAUUUGUACAAAACUUAUCAAAGUAUUCUUUUAUUUAAUUAUGUUUAUCAUGCUUUCUAUUACCAUUCCUAGAUUGAACUACUACGUUAUUUAAGAUGUAUUGUUAACAAUUUCCAUUCUUCUUCUUGUAAUUUGAAGAUAAAAACUUCAGAAAAUAAGGAAAUCUGCAAUAAAACAGUAGUUCUACACGUGGUAGUCCCUAUAUAAAACACACCUAUCUACAUCUACCUAUGAUCGCCAUCUAUGACUUUAUCUAAUCUUUAACCCGUUAAUUUCAGCUACAUCCUGAUUACUA
Molecule: long non-coding RNA, 1150 nt
Organism: Scylla paramamosain (green mud crab)
Lineage: Eukaryota; Metazoa; Arthropoda; Malacostraca; Decapoda; Portunidae
Exons: 4
Source: RefSeq, a predicted model, not a curated record